CGGUGCAAACUAAUAUAAUCGCUGAGCCAAAGAAAGGUCUGAGGAUGUUUAAGGAAAAGUUUGUUUCGAACAUACGAUUUCAGCAGGUUGGAAAUGAGUUUUGUAUUGAAGGAAAAGUGAAAGCUGAAAUGAAGAAAAACACAGUUUAUGUGGUCACAACAAAAGUGGAUGCUGAAAAUAAGGUUAUCACUUGCAUAUGCUCUUGUCCAGCUGGACCACCCCCAGCCUCAUGUAAGCAUGCUUUUGCACUUUUGCAUGCAUUAGAAGACUACAGCAGGCAAGAGCUAUACUUAGCACCUACAGAAAAAUUGCAAGCUUGGCAUAGGCCUAAGCCUGUGAAAUUAAGUCCAAAAAAAUGCCGAGAAUUGUAUGGUAAGCGUAAGCUCUCCUGCACCGUUGAACCCGUUAAUGUGUCCGCUUUGUUCGAAAAUAAUGAUGGAAAGAGCGCACAGUAUAUGUCUGUUUGGCCCAUGUAUUUGGAUAACUGUAGCAAAUAUAUGCCUCCAUUACCUGCACUGGUACUUUCAGAAUAUCCAUUAAUUGAAGAAAUUCAACGAGUAUCACCUCUGAUGAAAUCUAAAUUAAUAUUCAAAAUUGAAGAAAUGUGGGAACUUGAACUGAGUACAACACAACAACAUGCAUGCACUUUGUGGAGAAAGGAGCGUUUAUUGCGUCUUACAGCUUCUAAGUUUUACGAAAUAGUUCACAGAAGAGCUGAUUUUGUUAAGUAUUGUGAACAGUUGUAUGUGUCCCAGAAUCAAGAACUCAAUUUUGCACCGAUAAAGUAUGGCAGAACGUUCGAAUCUGUUGUGAGAGGCUACGUUCGAACAGCAUACCCGAAACACAUAAUUCGAAAUGUCGGCCUCAUUACAAGCCCAUUUUUUCCACAUCUUGCAGCUUCUCCUGAUGGCCUGAUGCAUGAUGGAAAUGAUACCUUUCUCCUAGAGAUAAAAUGUGCGUACAACAUACUUGGCAAGAGUUUAGAGGAGUUAGCAGAGAACCCCGAUUUCUGUUUGAGUUUUAUUGAAGACAAAUGGACCUUGAAGAAAAAGCAUAAAUAUUAUCUUCAGGUACAGGGACAGUUGGCUAUCAGUAAUCUAAAUGAAUGUGUUUUUGCUUUGUUUUACAAGCAGCCAAAUUAUGUUCAUAUGGAACAUAUAUUAUUUGAUCAUGAACUAUGGAAAACCACUUCAACAAAACUUAAUAAAUUUUACUUUGAUUAUUACAUGCAUUAUGUUGAGUCAAAGUGUAGUUCGUAAGAAGAAAUUUUUGGAGCGAGAGGAGCAAACCUCUAUAAAAAACGUGGGCUCAGCUGGCUCCGGCUGACAGUACCCACAUGUAGGGCCCCUUGCCUAGGGUUACAGGUGAAAAUUUGACAUUUCACUAUUUCAAGCUGCAAACAAUAAUAAUUCAAAUGAAUUUAAAAAAAAAAAAAAACUAUAUUGCAUCAUUUAGAAACUCAAGCAUUAUACAUUUUCCAUGUUCUUGAUCUGCAGAGCUGAAGAGAUCUGCUUCUGUUUUGGUAUAAUUUUUAUCUCGGCAUGAAACUAAAAGCAUGGGUGGAACUCAAAGAUG
RNA transcript from Uloborus diversus, 1575 nucleotides. RefSeq lists it as uncharacterized. NCBI's taxonomy places the organism in Eukaryota, Metazoa, Arthropoda, Arachnida, Araneae, Uloboridae. The record is from RefSeq and is a predicted model, not a curated record. The transcript has 4 exons.